CAACGUCAUCACUGAGUACACGGUGAGUAACUCCAGGGAACAAGUGUGAGCGCUCAAUAUAAAGUGGCAUGCAUCUCAUGCCUCAUGGGAUUAUAAGACACUUGCGUUUUUUUGCGAACUAUGUGGAUGAUCGAUGUGCUCGUCACAAGUCGGUCGGAAUGAUUUCCUUCUGUUCACUCAAUAUCUAGAAUUCUUUCAACUCUCAAUAUUCAGUUCCAUCAUCCCUUCUUCAACCAGUUACCAUCCCAUGGCAUUUGUAACCACCAAUGCAAUCCUCUAAAGUCAAAAGUGAGCAGAAAGAAUAAAUCUCCACUUCAUUUGUUAUAACAGAGUUCAGUGAAGUUUGACCUCACCAGUGAGCCGCAGAAAGAGUUGGACACCACCCAGGAGCCGGAUUCAAACGGGUCGCUGACCGUCGUAAGCAACUUCUGAAUCUCCUUUGAAAGUCUUUUGAAAAAUGUUUGUUCAUCAGAGCUACAACCUGUGUGUAUGUGUACAGACUAAAGUCCUCUGAGGCAAAUUUGUAAUUGGCGAUUUUGGCCUCUACAAAAUAAAAUUAAUUGAAAUUUUAUUUAAUUGAAUAACGGAUAUAUAACAUUAAUUAAUGAAUUAAUGUUAAUUCAUUCAUUCAUUAAAGUAAGUAAAUAAAUAAAUAUUUUCCAUUGUGUGCUGGAUACCAUGACUCAUGUGCUUUCAGCCCGUGCUGCUAGUUCAAAUUCUUCUGUCUUUUGGUUUGAAGGAUCUUCUAAGGGGAGCCGCAGAGGGGCCGACUUUAUGGACCGUCACCACCCCGAACGGAGAGCAGGAGCUCCACAGGGAUGACGCCAGGUUAAAGGACUCCGGAGGCAAAGAGAUAGCAGAUUAUGAUCGUGAAGGCGCAUCAUCCCUGCAAAUGAAUCUGACAGUAGUCAACUCAACAUUCAAUUCUACAACUACACAGGAGACGGUUGCAGGUUUGCCGGAUACCGUGGCGGAGACCGUUGUCCUCAUUCAGGAUUCACUGAAGAAGACCUCUGGACAAAAGAAGAAGAACAGGGAACGUGGGAAGGGCAAAGGAAAUCAAGGACGGCAUAAGAGGCAGAGACAACGCCUGGCAAGUGAUGGGGACAAGCAAGAAGAAGAGGAAGAAGAGGAGUUUUAUAACAGCGAAGAAUACAGUUAUGAAUACGAGGAAGAACUUUCCCCAUCUGACUCUUCGGGUCACCAGGAGAAGAACAACAGCAAAAAGGAGGAACAAUUGCCCACACCCCGUCCUGCUCAGACAGAAACAUUGGUGGGAGCCUCCAGUCAUCCGCCAACAUCCUCUGCAGACAGACACAUAGAUGCAGAGGAUGAAGUGUCACUUCCCACACCGCCCGUCACAACAGAAGAACCAGACGAGGAUGUCUCUUAAGUCCCAAGACAUUGUGACGAUAGGGUGAUAAGCAUUCAUAAGAAAGGCCACACUGCACCGAACGUGUGAAUAAACUGAAGUGUUUUGCUGGUGAGGAGCCCUCAACCUGACCAACACGAGGAAGGACUUCUUUCCACACAGAGACCAUGUCACCCAAUCAAACAUAUUGCCAUUGCGAAGUUCAUAUCUUUAUUUUGAGCAGAGAUGUGUAGAAAAUCAGGCACUGUUGAAUGUUCCAUAUAUUUUGUUUUCUUCAUUUUGUGCAAUGUAAACCUCAGUGUAGCCUACAUCUUGUCUACAACUCAAUUUAUUUAUUCAGACAAAUAUUUCUCUGUAAUGAAUCGGGUUAAACACAAAGGUUAUGCCACCAAAUUCAAUAUAUCUCCUUUUGACAAGUUGUACGGGAAUUUUAUUUAUUGAAACUUGGAAUAUGUUGUGUGUUUACUUCACUUUUGAACGCCAACAAUGUGUAGUGGCACUAUAAUCUUAUCUGUAUCCAGGUCAUACACUCUUUUCACUGGUGAAAUUUUCUCUGUGUUUAACUUUGCUGUGCAUGAAUCUUCAGUAAAAGAAUAUUUGAAUAACUUCCCGAGGCAAUUUGUGUCUUCUUUUUUUGAACCAUAAGAAUACACAUCACCACAGAUGGUUGAAAGGAUGAUUUUGCUUGGUUUUCUCUUCGCUUUGGGGGGCUUUGACAGGUACCUCGAUUCCGAAUCAGGGUGAAGAAAAGUGUACCGUGGCCCAAAAACAUGGUAAGCGUGUCUUGUU
This is a long non-coding RNA of Gasterosteus aculeatus (three-spined stickleback), 2161 nucleotides long. The record is from Ensembl. NCBI's taxonomy places the organism in Eukaryota, Metazoa, Chordata, Actinopteri, Perciformes, Gasterosteidae.